AAGCAGAAGCAUAACCUGCUGCUUCUGGGCCCCGAUGCAAUGUCUAUAAUGGGGCCACUAUACUCCUUAUGUCCUAUUUAAAAUACAGCUGUCGUGAGGUAGCAAAGGUAUCAUUGGGCCCCCUGAGACACCAGGGCCCGAGUAUGACUGAGUACAAUGUAGGCUAUGGACACUUUUUAGCAUUUUAUGCUUGAUUUUGCCAAAAGUUCAGAUCGAAACAAAGCAAAUCCCCAGUUGUCAUGGAUUGUUAUAUGGAACGACGCGACCAAUGUACAGAAAUCAGAUGACAUCACUGCUGUACAGAUAUGUUAUGAGAUGACAUCACUACAUUACAGAUGGGAUGACAUCACUACUGUACAGAUAUGAGAUAUAAUGACAUCACUGCUCUCCAGGAUGAGAUGAAAUGACAUCACUGCUCUCUAGUAUGAGAUGAAAUGACAUCACUGCUCUCCAG
This is a long non-coding RNA of Hyla sarda, 454 nucleotides long. RefSeq lists it as uncharacterized. The record is from RefSeq and is a predicted model, not a curated record. NCBI's taxonomy places the organism in Eukaryota, Metazoa, Chordata, Amphibia, Anura, Hylidae. The transcript is spliced from 3 exons.